RNAcentral lists this ribosomal RNA (464 nucleotides) under uncultured bacterium. RNAcentral describes it as "partial 16S ribosomal RNA". It matches the Rfam family "Bacterial small subunit ribosomal RNA", at positions 339 to 795 of the family's 1533-position model. The record is from RNAcentral.
CUACGGGUCGCACCAGUGGGGAAUAUUGGACAAUGGGGGAAACCCUGAUCCAGCAAUGCCGCGUGUGUGAAGAAGGCCUGCGGGUUGUAAAGCACUUUCGGUUGGGAGGACUGCUUCUAGCACUAAUAUUGUUGGAAGUUGACGUUACCUUCAGAAGAAGCACCGGCUAACUCCGUGCCAGCAGCCGCGGUAAUACGGAGGGUGCAAGCGUUAAUCGGAAUUACUGGGCGUAAAGCGCGCGUAGGCGGCUAGAUCAGUCGGAUGUGAAAGCCCCGGGCUUAACCUGGGAACUGCAUCCGAUACUGUCUAGCUUGAGUACAGGAGAGGAGAGUGGAAUUCCACAUGUAGCGGUGAAAUGCGUAGAUAUGUGGAGGAACACCAAUGGCGAAGGCAGCUCUCUGGCCUGAUAUUGACGCUGAGGUGCGAAAGCGUGGGGAGCAACAGGAUUAGAUACCCCCGUAGUC